GCGUCAAUAGCUCAGUGGAAGAGCAGUGGGACGAUACCCCACCGACCUCGGGUUUGAUUCCCGAUCGACGCU
Non-coding RNA from Phthorimaea operculella (potato tuberworm), 72 nucleotides. Lineage: Eukaryota; Metazoa; Arthropoda; Insecta; Lepidoptera; Gelechiidae. The record is from the annotation of a GenBank genome assembly.